UGGGAGCACAGGUGAAAGCAGUUCACCCCUGUUAGGCCUUCAUGUGAGGGUUGACUGCCACUGAGGAAGGAUCUCCUUCUGGGGGGUUCCCUACAAACCCAGCACCUUCAUGAUAGGGGUGAGCAAUCUUCUCCCUCCCUUCCCACCUUUAUAGCACCUUUCUAUUGUGCUGGUCCUUCCACCUCUUGUGCAACACCUAUUCCAUUGUGUUUAUCUUUCCAAUUGCUACAAUUUGGAAAUAACAUUCAUGAACCUCAAAGUGUUACUGACUCAGGCAGGAAUUUUGAUUGGACUUCUUAAACCUCCAGUAGAACCACGUGGCUUUGACUGCUGAAUGUCAGCACAUGAAUGAAUGAAUAUACUUAAGAGGCUCUUGUCUCACAUGUAAGACAACCAAUUUCCAUGCUCAGUAAUCACAGUUUCUUAGACAGUAGAGCUAGAAACAUGUUUAAAUGCUGCCUGUCUGCCUCAGUUUGUCCUUAAGACCUGAAACUGAAAGCAUGUUGCAUGUUGUUGUGUAUAAACACAUACACUCAAAAGGUGUAGGCAUAGGCAGGUAAUUUAAUUAUAUGUGUGACUUGACUUUUCCUCGAAUUGUAAACCAUGACUGAGGAAUAGAGUUCCUCAUUGAUCUUCAGUUUCUGAAAUGUCUGCUGGAUGGACCUGGGACAGAGGGACUACACUGAUGAGUGGUGAAGUCACUAGACUUUGGAAUGCUUUGAAAAGUGUAUUGAAUUCACUGUCCAGCAAAUACACUGGAAAAUCACCAUUCUUUUUUAUUGGUGAGGCUGUUGCAGCUCCAUUAAGAAAACUUGCUUUUGUAAAUGCUUGAGGUAAUCUCACUCUUUGGGCCCUCCUUGGAAAAUAAUGUGCUUCAAGUUUUUUAUACUAGACUGUCAUCUUGCAUAUUGUGAAGACUUCAAGGCCGGAUAACUCUCAGACUGUGAAGAAAGAAGCUCAACUGUUUGAGAAAUUUCUCUAAAUGCAAAUAUUUACUUGUAUUUAACUGAUAAUACUCCAACAGUUAACUUAAGAUUUUAACCUUCCUAAUAUCUCAUGGACUUAAUUAGAAACUAAAUAUAUUUUUUUAUUUUGUAAUCCAGAAAAUACACAGAUUGAGAGAAGACUGAAGCAACAGUUAUCCUGGAUGUUUAGUUUAUAUUUUUUCACAAAGAAUAAGUUUCCUUCCUUUUCUUUCUUUCUUACUCUGCUCUUUGUUAAAUGCCUUACUUUAAAAUUUACUGCAAUGUAUUCCCUUCCCACACCCAAAUUUGAAGUUUUACAAUACCUAAAGUAACUGUUAAUCAGGAAGAUUACAUGGUAAUAAUUCUCUGCAUUUUCAGUAAAUUGUGAGAUUCUUCUUUUAGAUUAACUUUGGUUGUACAGUGUAUCAGUAAUCUCACAGAAUUUUAGAAUAAAAGUAAUGUAUACAUUAAGUACA
This 1441-nucleotide long non-coding RNA is filed under the name Numida meleagris (helmeted guineafowl). RNAcentral's name for it is "lncRNA (ENSNMEG00000005658.1)". The record is from RNAcentral. Lineage: Eukaryota; Metazoa; Chordata; Aves; Galliformes; Numididae.